RNAcentral lists this ribosomal RNA (253 nucleotides) under uncultured bacterium. Its description in RNAcentral is "partial 16S ribosomal RNA". It matches the Rfam family "Bacterial small subunit ribosomal RNA", at positions 524 to 776 of the family's 1533-position model. The record is from RNAcentral.
UACGUAGGGUGCGAGCGUUGUCCGGAACUAUUGGGCGUAAAGGGCUCGUAGGCGGUUUGUCGCGUCGGGAGUGAAAACCUCGGGCUUAACUCGGGGCUUGCUUUCGAUACGGGCAGACUGGAGGUAUGCAGGGGAGAACGGAAUUCCUGGUGUAGCGGUGAAAUGCGCAGAUAUCAGGAGGAACACCGGUGGCGAAGGCGGUUCUCUGGGCAUUACCUGACGCUGAGGAGCGAAAGUGUGGGGAGCGAACAGG